This 439-nucleotide ribosomal RNA is filed under the name Leptotrichia buccalis. RNAcentral's name for it is "bacterial SSU rRNA". It matches the Rfam family "Bacterial small subunit ribosomal RNA", at positions 28 to 471 of the family's 1533-position model. The record is from RNAcentral. Lineage: Bacteria; Fusobacteriati; Fusobacteriota; Fusobacteriia; Fusobacteriales; Leptotrichiaceae.
GAUGAACGCUGACAGAAUGCUUAACACAUGCAAGUCUUUGGCAAAUCUGUGCUUGCACAGCCUAGCCAAGGCGGACGGGUGAGUAACGCGUAAAGAACUUGCCCUGCAGACAGGGAUAACAGACGGAAACGACUGAUAAUACCUGAUAUAAUUGCCAGCACGCAUGUGCCCAGCAAUGAAAAGUGAUGCUGCAGGAGAGCUUUGCGUCCUAUUAGCUUGUUGGUGAGGUAAUGGCUCACCAAGGCGAUGAUAGGUAGCCGGCCUGAGAGGGUGAACGGCCACAAGGGGACUGAGAUACGGCCCUUACUCCUACGGGAGGCAGCAGUGGGGAAUAUUGGACAAUGGGGGCAACCCUGAUCCAGCAAUUCUGUGUGCACGAAGAAGGUUUUCGGAUUGUAAAGUGCUUUCAGCAGGAAGAAGAAAGUGACGGACCUCAGAG